UAUUAAUGAUGCUAUUGCCAUGCUAAUACCGAGAAAUCAUAUAUAUAUAUAUGGAUUUCGUUGAGUUAAACUCUUUAAAUUACUGAAUUCU
Molecule: small nucleolar RNA, 91 nt
Organism: Nylanderia fulva
Lineage: Eukaryota; Metazoa; Arthropoda; Insecta; Hymenoptera; Formicidae
Source: RefSeq, a predicted model, not a curated record